CGGGACGGGGUGGAGUAAUGUCUGGGAAACGUGCCUGAUGGAGGGGAUAACUACUGGAAACGGUAGCUAAUACCGCAUAACGUCGCAAGACCAAAGAGGGGGACCUUCGGGCCUCUUGCCAUCGGAUGUGCCCAGAUGGGAUUAGCUAGUAGGUGGGGUAACGGCUCACCUAGGCGACGAUCCCUAGCUGGUCUGAGAGGAUGCCAGCCACACUGGAACUGAGACACGGUCCAG
This 234-nucleotide ribosomal RNA is filed under the name uncultured bacterium. Its description in RNAcentral is "partial 16S ribosomal RNA". It matches the Rfam family "Bacterial small subunit ribosomal RNA", at positions 104 to 334 of the family's 1533-position model. The record is from RNAcentral.